Long non-coding RNA from Chelonia mydas (Green sea turtle), 623 nucleotides. RefSeq lists it as uncharacterized. The record is from RefSeq and is a predicted model, not a curated record. NCBI's taxonomy places the organism in Eukaryota, Metazoa, Chordata, Testudines, Cheloniidae. The transcript is spliced from 2 exons.
GAGGGAUGGAGGAUUCCUUGGUCAUCGGAGGUUCCCUUACCUGUUCAUUUCCAGACCUUUUCACGUCUGUGACUCCUUUCCCCUUGUUUCAAGGAAGUAGGAUUUUUGUGAAGGAAGGGUGACCGCCCUGUAAUCGGGGUUCGGGUCGCUUUCCUUUCCCCCUCUUGGCAUUGGCCCUCUUCAUGCCAAAGUGAGCUCCCUGUAACUAGGGUGUGCAACUUUCCCAAGCUUACUCGCCCAUUUGAAAGCUAGUUGUAGAAAGCAGCCUCUUUGCAGAGUUAGGGGUUUGUCCUUCUAGCUCUCCUGUCGCCGUGCCCUACUCACACGCACAACCAAGUCCAAACCGAGCGAACUCUGCAUCCCGCUGGCCCUCACUGCUGCUGCUGCUGCAAGGUUUCCUGCUCUACGCCACAGCAACUCAGAAGAGAAAACGGAGAAGAGGACAGAAGUACCAAAGAAACGGCAGGAAAAGACAAUGGAAGCAGAAGCCACAGAAAAGGGACACACACCUUGCACGCAUGGGCCUCCCUGCAAUGAGGACACGGGAUUUCCACUUAAGCUUCAUUCCCCCUUGAGGUGCCAGGUAAAAGGACCUCCCUGUAAACGGGGAUCAAGGUCCACCC